GAGUUAAUCUCUCAUUAACUAGUGGAUGAGACUUCUCCACUUUCCAAGUACAUCUCCAUCAACAUCGACCUCAAAUAAUAUUUGAUCUCUAUGCCAUUAUCUUUCUCAAUUCUCAUACUACCUCCAUCUCAUAUAACUUAGGAUAUUUAACAAAAUAAUAAAAAUUAUCUCUAAGGGAAAGAUAAUAUGAUCAUUUAGCUUAAUAUAUUAGAACAAUAAAGGACAUUAUAUUAAUUAAAACAAGACAGCAACGCAAUCAAAGUCACCAAAGAGAAAACACGAACUCUGACAACAAGGCUAACUAGGCUUUAGAUUCUAAUUAAAAUUCGCCUCACAUUAUAUUAAGAGUAUCUAAUUAAUCGCGAAGUCUACAAAGAUAUUCAGAAGGGUCACGGUCAAAAUCAGCCCUAUAAAUGUAACCAUCACGACCUGAAGCUUUUGGCUUUUUCUUGUUGUUAGACCCUUCACUACCAAUGAGCUUGGACAAGCCCCAUCCUAACAAUGCUACACCUGCAGCAAUUGCAACUUUUUUUUAUAGUAACUUCAUUUUCUUCAAAUGACAGAUUAUUGGCCAUCAACUGCUCAACAUUUAGUCCAGAUUUUCUUCCCUCUGAAUUAUUUGCAGUGCUUUCAGAUGACCCCACUAUACUUUUAAUCUCAAACAGCUGAGUUUCUGAUCAGUGCUAAUAGGUAUACUGAUCUGUUUGU
Molecule: long non-coding RNA, 708 nt
Filed under: Capsicum annuum
Lineage: Eukaryota; Viridiplantae; Streptophyta; Magnoliopsida; Solanales; Solanaceae
Description: long non-coding RNA (CANN_LNC018089)
Source: RNAcentral